This 468-nucleotide ribosomal RNA is filed under the name uncultured bacterium. RNAcentral's name for it is "partial 16S ribosomal RNA". It matches the Rfam family "Bacterial small subunit ribosomal RNA", at positions 28 to 507 of the family's 1533-position model. The record is from RNAcentral.
GACGAACGCUGGCGGCGUGCUUAACACAUGCAAGUCGAACGGAAAGGCCCUGCUUUUGUGGGGUGCUCGAGUGGCGAACGGGUGAGUAACACGUGAGUAACCUGCCCUUGACUUUGGGAUAACUUCAGGAAACUGGGGCUAAUACCGGAUAGGAGCUCCUGCUGCAUGGUGGGGGUUGGAAAGUUUCGGCGGUUGGGGAUGGACUCGCGGCUUAUCAGCUUGUUGGUGGGGUAGUGGCUUACCAAGGCUUUGACGGGUAGCCGGCCUGAGAGGGUGACCGGCCACAUUGGGAAUGAGAUACGGCCCAGACUCCUACGGGAGGCAGCAGUGGGGAAUAUUGCACAAUGGGCGGAAGCCUGAUGCAGCAACGCCGCGUGCGGGAUGACGGCCUUCGGGUUGUAAACCGCUUUCGCCUGUGACGAGGCGUGAGUGACGGUAAUGGGUAAAGAAGCACCGGCUAACUACGUG